GGUUCAGGAUGAACGCUGGCGGCGUGCUUAACACAUGCAAGUCGAACGAGGGUUACCGGUUGAAAUUUCGAAUGGAAACGGGUAAUUCCUAGUGGCGGACGGGUGAGUAACGCGUGGGGAACCUGCCCCAUUCCGGGGGAUACCAGUUGGAAACGACUGUUAAUACCGCAUAAGCGCACAGUACUGCAUGGUACGGUGUGAAAAAACCACGGUGGAAUGGGAUGGCCCCGCGUCUGAUUAGCCAGUUGGCAGGGUAACGGCCUACCAAAGCGACGAUCAGUAGCCGGCCUGAGAGGGCGACCGGCCACAUUGGGACUGAGACACGGCCCAAACUCCUACGGGAGGCAGCAGUGGGGAAUAUUGCACAAUGGGGGGAACCCUGAUGCAGCGAACCGCCGCGUGAGUGAAGAAGUAUUUCGGUAUGUAAAGCUCUAUCAGCAGGGAAGAAGAUGACGGUACCUGCACAAGAAGCCCCGGCUAACUACGUGCCAGCCGCUGC
RNAcentral lists this ribosomal RNA (499 nucleotides) under uncultured bacterium. RNAcentral describes it as "bacterial SSU rRNA". It matches the Rfam family "Bacterial small subunit ribosomal RNA", at positions 21 to 518 of the family's 1533-position model. The record is from RNAcentral.